This 845-nucleotide long non-coding RNA is filed under the name Homo sapiens (human). Its description in RNAcentral is "non-protein coding lnc-KNG1-1:1". The record is from RNAcentral. Lineage: Eukaryota; Metazoa; Chordata; Mammalia; Primates; Hominidae.
UUAGUCUUAGAUGUGCAAGAAUCUGAUUAUUCGGUCCUAUCCAGGAAACACUGGAAUGACUGUGAGCCAGCUGUUUUCAGAUGUCCAUCUGAUAUGUGAUCAGACAAUGUAAGGUAAUGGCUACAAGACAUUCCCAUGAAUCUCAGGAUCUCAGAGUAACUUUGACUGCACCACAAGUUGUGUCUCUUCAGCAUUGGCCAAUACCAAGGAUAGUCCCGUCCUCUUAGAUUCCCUCAAGGAUACCGAGCUCUACAGAAAACAAGCCAACAAAGCCCUUGUGAAGUACAAAGGAGAGAAUGAUGACUUUCCCUCUUUCGGAGUGGACCAAGUCCAGAGAACUGCAAGAGUAGAGGAGAGAAAUGAGCCAAUUACUAUGUGGACUUCUCUGUGAGGAACUGCUCCAGGCACCAUUUUCCCAGACACCCCAAUUUAUGGAGUCUGCAGAGUAUAUUUGUCCUACGAUGCAGGAGCCUUGGACUUGAAAAGCCCAAAAGAUCUUGUCGUAAUCUGCAAAGUCUUCAACCCUCAGGAAUAUAGAAUCAUCAAUGGUGUAAACCCCAUUUGGGCUAUCCUUUUUUCACAUUUGGGCUAACCUUUUCACUCUGGUGGACAUGAGCAUUCUCCUACUGCUAAGCUUCCAUUUAAACCCCACGGGUCCCGAGAUCACCAUUAUCCCCACAAGCCACAAGAACUUGGAUUCCCACCUCGCCCAGAUGAAAAAGAUCACUCGGACAGACCUCCACUUCAACAAAAGAGCUCCUUCACAAUUGCCCCCUUCUUGGUCAACAGGUCAUCACACCCCUUCUGGCACAAACAGGACCCAAAAUCACCCUCAUGACUCUAAU